AAGCGGUGUAAACCGUGCAGGGUUCGAACCUGCAGCAGGUCGAGUCGAGCGACAGCGAGACAACGUUGCGUCAGCAACGACCCGCAGGGCGAGGCGAAGCCGAGUCAUCCUGCACGACCCACCA
RNAcentral lists this small RNA (124 nucleotides) under Erwinia pyrifoliae. RNAcentral describes it as "RtT sRNA". It matches the Rfam family "RtT RNA". Rfam says of the family: This family represents a bacterial cis-regulatory element known as RtT RNA. The record is from RNAcentral. Lineage: Bacteria; Pseudomonadati; Pseudomonadota; Gammaproteobacteria; Enterobacterales; Erwiniaceae.